GAUGAACGCUGGCGGCGUGCCUAAUACAUGCAAGUCGAGCGAACGGACGAGAAGCUUGCUUUUCUGAUGUUAGCGGCGGACGGGUGAGUAACACGUGGAUAACCUACCUAUAAGACUGGGAUAACUUCGGGAAACCGGAGCUAAUACCGGAUAAUAUUUUGAACCGCAUGGUUCAAAAGUGAAAGACGGUCUUGCUGUCACUUAUAGAUGGAUCUGCGCUGCAUUAGCUAGUUGGUAAGGUAACGGCUUACCAAGGCAACGAUGCAUAGCCGACCUGAGAGAGUGAUCGGCCACACUAGAACUGGGACACGGUCCAGACUCCUACGGGAGGCAGCAGUAGGGAAUCUUCCGCAAUGGGCGAAAGCCUGACGGAGCAACGCCGCGUGAGUGAUGAAGAUCUUCGGAUCGUAAAACUCCGUUAUUAGGGAAGAACAUAUGUGUAAGUAACUGUGCACAUCUUGACGGUACCUAAUCAGAAAGCCACGGCUAACUACGUG
This 497-nucleotide ribosomal RNA is filed under the name uncultured bacterium. RNAcentral's name for it is "partial 16S ribosomal RNA". It matches the Rfam family "Bacterial small subunit ribosomal RNA", at positions 28 to 507 of the family's 1533-position model. The record is from RNAcentral.